This 2905-nucleotide ribosomal RNA is filed under the name Salmonella enterica. RNAcentral's name for it is "23S ribosomal RNA". It matches the Rfam family "Bacterial large subunit ribosomal RNA". RNAcentral also lists the same sequence under 2 other names. Lineage: Bacteria; Pseudomonadati; Pseudomonadota; Gammaproteobacteria; Enterobacterales; Enterobacteriaceae. The record is from RNAcentral.
GGUUAAGCGACUAAGCGUACACGGUGGAUGCCCUGGCAGUCAGAGGCGAUGAAGGACGUGCUAAUCUGCGAUAAGCGCCGGUAAGGUGAUAUGAACCGUUAUAACCGGCGAUUUCCGAAUGGGGAAACCCAGUGUGAUUCGUCACACUAUCAUUAACUGAAUCCAUAGGUUAAUGAGGCGAACCGGGGGAACUGAAACAUCUAAGUACCCCGAGGAAAAGAAAUCAACCGAGAUUCCCCCAGUAGCGGCGAGCGAACGGGGAGGAGCCCAGAGCCUGAAUCAGCAUGUGUGUUAGUGGAAGCGUCUGGAAAGGCGCGCGAUACAGGGUGACAGCCCCGUACACAAAAGCGCAUGUGCUGUGAGCUCGAUGAGUAGGGCGGGACACGUGGUAUCCUGUCUGAAUAUGGGGGGACCAUCCUCCAAGGCUAAAUACUCCUGACUGACCGAUAGUGAACCAGUACCGUGAGGGAAAGGCGAAAAGAACCCCGGCGAGGGGAGUGAAAAAGAACCUGAAACCGUGUACGUACAAGCAGUGGGAGCACAGGUUUACCUGUGUGACUGCGUACCUUUUGUAUAAUGGGUCAGCGACUUAUAUUCUGUAGCAAGGUUAACCGAAUAGGGGAGCCGGAGGGAAACCGAGUCUUAAUUGGGCGUUAAGUUGCAGGGUAUAGACCCGAAACCCGGUGAUCUAGCCAUGGGCAGGUUGAAGGUUGGGUAACACUAACUGGAGGACCGAACCGACUAAUGUUGAAAAAUUAGCGGAUGACCUGUGGCUGGGGGUGAAAGGCCAAUCAAACCGGGAGAUAGCUGGUUCUCCCCGAAAGCUAUUUAGGUAGCGCCUCGUGAACUCAUCUCCGGGGGUAGAGCACUGUUUCGGCUAGGGGGCCAUCCCGGCUUACCAACCCGAUGCAAACUGCGAAUACCGGAGAAUGUUAUCACGGGAGACACACGGCGGGUGCUAACGUCCGUCGUGAAGAGGGAAACAACCCAGACCGCCAGCUAAGGUCCCAAAGUCAUGGUUAAGUGGGAAACGAUGUGGGAAGGCCCAGACAGCCAGGAUGUUGGCUUAGAAGCAGCCAUCAUUUAAAGAAAGCGUAAUAGCUCACUGGUCGAGUCGGCCUGCGCGGAAGAUGUAACGGGGCUAAACCAUGCACCGAAGCUGCGGCAGCGACACUGUGUGUUGUUGGGUAGGGGAGCGUUCUGUAAGCCUGUGAAGGUGGCCUGUGAGGGUUGCUGGAGGUAUCAGAAGUGCGAAUGCUGACAUAAGUAACGAUAAAGCGGGUGAAAAGCCCGCUCGCCGGAAGACCAAGGGUUCCUGUCCAACGUUAAUCGGGGCAGGGUGAGUCGACCCCUAAGGCGAGGCCGAAAGGCGUAGUCGAUGGGAAACAGGUUAAUAUUCCUGUACUUGGUGUUACUGCGAAGGGGGGACGGAGAAGGCUAUGUUGGCCGGGCGACGGUUGUCCCGGUUUAAGCGUGUAGGCUGGUUUUCCAGGCAAAUCCGGAAAAUCAAGGCUGAGGCGUGAUGACGAGGCACUACGGUGCUGAAGCAACAAAUGCCCUGCUUCCAGGAAAAGCCUCUAAGCAUCAGGUAACAUCAAAUCGUACCCCAAACCGACACAGGUGGUCAGGUAGAGAAUACCAAGGCGCUUGAGAGAACUCGGGUGAAGGAACUAGGCAAAAUGGUGCCGUAACUUCGGGAGAAGGCACGCUGACACGUAGGUGAAGUGAUUUACUCAUGGAGCUGAAGUCAGUCGAAGAUACCAGCUGGCUGCAACUGUUUAUUAAAAACACAGCACUGUGCAAACACGAAAGUGGACGUAUACGGUGUGACGCCUGCCCGGUGCCGGAAGGUUAAUUGAUGGGGUCAGCGCAAGCGAAGCUCCUGAUCGAAGCCCCGGUAAACGGCGGCCGUAACUAUAACGGUCCUAAGGUAGCGAAAUUCCUUGUCGGGUAAGUUCCGACCUGCACGAAUGGCGUAAUGAUGGCCAGGCUGUCUCCACCCGAGACUCAGUGAAAUUGAACUCGCUGUGAAGAUGCAGUGUACCCGCGGCAAGACGGAAAGACCCCGUGAACCUUUACUAUAGCUUGACACUGAACAUUGAGCCUUGAUGUGUAGGAUAGGUGGGAGGCUUUGAAGCGUGGACGCCAGUCUGCGUGGAGCCGACCUUGAAAUACCACCCUUUAAUGUUUGAUGUUCUAACGUGGACCCGUAAUCCGGGUUGCGGACAGUGUCUGGUGGGUAGUUUGACUGGGGCGGUCUCCUCCUAAAGAGUAACGGAGGAGCACGAAGGUUGGCUAAUCCUGGUCGGACAUCAGGAGGUUAGUGCAAUGGCAUAAGCCAGCUUGACUGCGAGCGUGACGGCGCGAGCAGGUGCGAAAGCAGGUCAUAGUGAUCCGGUGGUUCUGAAUGGAAGGGCCAUCGCUCAACGGAUAAAAGGUACUCCGGGGAUAACAGGCUGAUACCGCCCAAGAGUUCAUAUCGACGGCGGUGUUUGGCACCUCGAUGUCGGCUCAUCACAUCCUGGGGCUGAAGUAGGUCCCAAGGGUAUGGCUGUUCGCCAUUUAAAGUGGUACGCGAGCUGGGUUUAGAACGUCGUGAGACAGUUCGGUCCCUAUCUGCCGUGGGCGCUGGAGAACUGAGGGGGGCUGCUCCUAGUACGAGAGGACCGGAGUGGACGCAUCACUGGUGUUCGGGUUGUCAUGCCAAUGGCACUGCCCGGUAGCUAAAUGCGGAAGAGAUAAGUGCUGAAAGCAUCUAAGCACGAAACUUGCCCCGAGAUGAGUUCUCCCUGAGACUUAGAGUCUCCUGAAGGAACGUUGAAGACGACGACGUUGAUAGGCCGGGUGUGUAAGCGCAGCGAUGCGUUGAGCUAACCGGUACUAAUGAACCGUGAGGCUUAACCUU